This 382-nucleotide ribosomal RNA is filed under the name uncultured bacterium. RNAcentral describes it as "bacterial SSU rRNA". It matches the Rfam family "Bacterial small subunit ribosomal RNA", at positions 28 to 400 of the family's 1533-position model. The record is from RNAcentral.
GACGAACGCUGGCGGCGUGCCUAACACAUGCAAGUCGAGCGGGAACCUCAGGAGGGGUAACCCUUCUGAGGGGAGAGCGGCGAACGGGUGAGUAACACGUGGGCAACCUGCCCCGGACACCGGGAUAACCCAGGGAAACCUGAGCUAAUACCGGAUACUCCGGCGCGAUCGCAUGGUCGUGCCGGGAAAGCUCCGACGGUCCGGGAUGGGCCCGCGGCCUAUCAGCUUGUUGGUGGGGUAACGGCCCACCAAGGCGACGACGGGUAGCUGGUCUGAGAGGACGGCCAGCCACACUGGGACUGAGACACGGCCCAGACUCCUACGGGAGGCAGCAGUGGGGGAUCUUGCGCUAAUGCGCGAAAGCGUGACGCAGCGACGCCGC